Molecule: ribosomal RNA, 598 nt
Filed under: Luidia maculata
Lineage: Eukaryota; Metazoa; Echinodermata; Asteroidea; Paxillosida; Luidiidae
Description: partial large subunit ribosomal RNA
Rfam family: Bacterial large subunit ribosomal RNA
Source: RNAcentral
CGCCCUUUGAAAGGUUAAUAACCAAAAAAUAAAGGGUACUGCCUGCCCAGUGACGUAGAAGUUUAACGGCCGCGGUAUCUUGACCGUGCAAAGGUAGCAUAAUCAUUUGCCUUUUAAAUGGAGGCUGGAAUGAAUGGCAAGACGGAAAUUUGACUGUCUCUUUCUUAAUAGCCCUGAAUUUUAUAUCCUAGUGAAGAAGCUGGGAUGAAGUCGUGGGACGAGAAGACCCUGUUGAGCUUAAACAAUAAAAAUAGGUAUAAUUUUUCUAUUAUUAACUAAUUAAGGUUAAAAAAGUAAUUUGUUUAUAAAUUUAUUUUUAGUUGAGAAAGUAUUGUGUUUGUGUUGUUUUGGUUGGGGCAACCGCGGAGAAUAAGAAACCUCCGCUUCAAAAAGUAAAAAAGUGCAGUUUUUAUUUAGAAAGUUUCUGUAAAAGUGAUCCACCUGGCGGGUGAUCAAAGGAAAAAGUUACCACAGGGAUAACAGCGUAAUUUUUUUGGAGAGUUCAUAUUGAUAAAAAAGUUUGCGACCUCGAUGUUGGAUCGAGACUUCCCAGGGGUGCAGCAGCUCCUAAAGGUUGGUCUGUUCGACCAUUAAAGUC